This 206-nucleotide long non-coding RNA is filed under the name Zostera marina. Its description in RNAcentral is "long non-coding RNA (ZMAR_LNC002872)". Lineage: Eukaryota; Viridiplantae; Streptophyta; Magnoliopsida; Alismatales; Zosteraceae. The record is from RNAcentral.
CGCUGAGAAGGUCACGCUUCGUACUGACUCUCAACUCGUAGCUCGGCAAACCACUGGUGAGUUUGCCUGCAAGGAACCACAAAUCACGAAAUAUGUGGAAGCUAUGGUAGAACUCACCAAGCAGUUCGCUGAGUUUAAAAUCGAGCAAAUCACUCAAACUCAGAACACACCCGCCGAUGCCCUAGCACGGCUAGCAUCGGCCUGGG